GUGGGGAAUUUUGGGCAAUGGGCGAAAGCCUGACCCAGCAACGCCGCGUGGAGGACGAAGACUUUCGGGUCGUAAACUCCUGUCCGAAGGGACGAAGACAGUGACGGUACCUUUGGAGGAAGCCCCGGCUAACUCCGUGCCAGCAGCCGCGGUAAUACGGGGGGGGCAAGCGUUGUUCGGAAUUACUGGGCGUAAAGGGCGCGUAGGCGGUUUCGGCAGUCAUGGGUGAAAGCCCUCGGCUCAACCGGGGAAUGGCCUGUGAAACCACGGAACUGGAGUGCUGGAGAGGGAAGCGGAAUUCCCAGUGUAGCGGUGAAAUGCGUAGAUAUUGGGAGGAACACCGGAGGCGAAGGCGGCUUCCUGGACAGACACUGACGCUGAGGCGCGAAAGCCAGGGGAGCAAACGGGAUUAGAAACCCCUGUAGUCC
RNAcentral lists this ribosomal RNA (428 nucleotides) under uncultured bacterium. Its description in RNAcentral is "bacterial SSU rRNA". It matches the Rfam family "Bacterial small subunit ribosomal RNA", at positions 354 to 796 of the family's 1533-position model. The record is from RNAcentral.